UGCGGCCUACGGGGGGCAGCAGUGAGGAAUAUUGGUCAAUGGCCGCAGGGCUGAACCAGCCAAGUCGCGUGAGGGAUGACGGUCCUAUGGAUUGUAAACCUCUUUUGUCGGGGAGCAAAAGACGCCACGCGUGGCGUUCCGAGAGUACCCGAAGAAAAAGCAUCGGCUAACUCCGUGCCAGCAGCCGCGGUAAUACGGAGGAUGCGAGCGUUAUCCGGAUUUAUUGGGUUUAAAGUGUGCGCAGGCGGAAGAUCAAGUCAGCGGUAAAAUUGAGAGGCCCAACCUCUUCGAGCCGUUGAAACUGG
This 305-nucleotide ribosomal RNA is filed under the name uncultured bacterium. RNAcentral's name for it is "bacterial SSU rRNA". It matches the Rfam family "Bacterial small subunit ribosomal RNA", at positions 333 to 636 of the family's 1533-position model. The record is from RNAcentral.